RNAcentral lists this ribosomal RNA (181 nucleotides) under uncultured bacterium. Its description in RNAcentral is "partial 16S ribosomal RNA". It matches the Rfam family "Bacterial small subunit ribosomal RNA", at positions 336 to 526 of the family's 1533-position model. The record is from RNAcentral.
CUCCUACGGGAGGCAGCAGUGGGGAAUAUUGCACAAUGGGCGAAAGCCUGAUGCAGCGACGCCGCGUGAGGGAUGACUGCCUUCGGGUUGUAAACCUCUUUCAGCAGGGACGAAGCGAAAGUGACGGUACCUGUAGAAGAAGCACCGGCCAACUACGUGCCAGCAGCAGCCGCGGUAAUUC